AGAUUGAACGCUGGCGGCGUGCCUAGCACAUGCAAGUCGAGCGGUAACAGGUGUAGCAAUACAUGCUGACGAGCGGCGAACGGGUGAGUAAUGCUUCGGAAUCUACCUUAUGGUGGGGAAUAACUAGCCGAAAGGUUAGCUAAUACCGCAUACGUCCUACGGGAGAAAGCAGGGGAUCGCAAGACCUUGACGACCAAAAAAUGAGCCGAAGUCGGAUUAGCUAGUUGGUAGGGUAACGGCCUACCGAAGGCGACGAUCCGUAGCUGGUCUGGAGAGGACGACCA
RNAcentral lists this ribosomal RNA (284 nucleotides) under uncultured soil bacterium. RNAcentral describes it as "partial 16S ribosomal RNA". It matches the Rfam family "Bacterial small subunit ribosomal RNA", at positions 26 to 306 of the family's 1533-position model. The record is from RNAcentral.